Columba livia (rock pigeon) is the source of this 1612-nucleotide long non-coding RNA. RefSeq lists it as uncharacterized. Lineage: Eukaryota; Metazoa; Chordata; Aves; Columbiformes; Columbidae. The record is from RefSeq and is a predicted model, not a curated record. The transcript is spliced from 3 exons.
GGCUGGGGCGCUCACCUGGGGCUCUGGGGACACAGGGCUGCUCCUCCUCCUCGCAGUGAGGCGGCUCUGAGGGAACAGAGCAACCUCUGGUGCCCAGGAGGGCUCCGGAGGGAUCCGAUGGCCCAACACGUGCAAAUGAGCUGGUUUUGUCAGAAUUAACAGCGGUGCUCUGGAGGAAAAGACAAGUUUUACAGGCAAUCCUAGUUGCCAUAAAUGAGUAGGGCGUCUAUUCCAAAAGAAAACCUUGGUAUUUAUGCAAUACAAAAGUGUUUAUGCUGAGACAGAAUGCCGAGGGUCAGCAACCUCAGUGUUCAAGGAUGGAAAAACCCUUUUAAAGCCCCCACUAGUGUCUUGGGUUAGUGUGGUAAAGAGAAAACCUCAAAAAUGCAACUCCCGGGCUUUGUAAGGUUGUUUGUUGUGGACUGUCUUCUGGCAUCAGAGCUUGAAUUUUCCUUAAACUGCUCCAAGAAUGUGGAAAAGCUCUUAUAAACUCAUGGGGAAGCCAAACAGCGCUGAGUGAACAGAGGGGCUGUGCAGAGCGCUCGCUGCGGGACUCGCUGGUCUGGAAGAUUCUCUUACACCUUCUUGUCCUUUCAGCUUUCGUGGGUGAAACAGACGAAACAAACAAGUACAUAGGAGCAGCCUGACUGUGGUUCAGCAAGAACAUCUGGCAUAUAACGAGCAACAAGAAGGGAGGCACAGAGACAAUGCAGGGAAAAGAUGAAGGGAAUGGGUGGACACCACUAACACUGCAAUGUUUCUGAACCAUGGAAGGGUUUGUGAUUGAAAUAAGUUGUAAGAUGAUGGGUAUUUGAGUGACAACAGGUUGAAAAACAAAUCUCAGUGUCAAGACUUCUGAGAAAGGAAUUGCUGGCAUCAAAUUGGGACACGGCUCGGUUGUGGACAAACAGUUCAGCUACGACGGGAAUGAGGAAGGGGCAAAAAUUUGUUAUGAAGGUGGAUAAUGGGGAACAUGGCUUUGAGUAGGGAUUUCUUGGUGGAUCACAGCUUCUGGGAUAGGAUGUACAUGGAAGGAAAAAAUAAACACCUUUCUCAUGGACAUAAACCAGAUCUUCAGAUUAAUUUCCUUUUUAUGCCGUAUUUUUGCAUCCUCAGAUUCAUUUCUAAAAUCAAUUAAUUCCAUUCGCUGUCCUUGUGGUGGAUGGCAGGCUCAUAGGUAGCGUCUUGAGAGGGAAAAAGACACUUACCUGAGACUCCUUCAUUGCCAAGCGCUGCGUAGAUGUUCUGUCAAUGCAACCACCUCUCCAAGGAGCUCCUCUGCUCUUCAGCCCCUUCCAGGGCCUACAUCAGAAGGUGAGGGGCAGUUGCGUUGACAGGCUCGGGUAUAAAUAACCCUGGAGGCACAGGAGCCGCAGAGGUAAUGAAGUGCCUUGAGGAAAUUCUCAACUAUCAAGGGAUGGAUCCACUCCCCCCUGCCACAGACCAGAAGUCACAUGGCUGAGGAAUGUGUAUCCAAAGAUAAUGCUACCUUCAGAGAACUCUACUUACAGGUUACACAGAGCUGGUUUCCAACAGAAGGAUGUAGUUUAAGAGCUGGAGAAACGUCAUCUAUAUCAUCCCUUAUCUCUUAACAUCCCAUCAUUUAUAUUGU